Molecule: microRNA, 23 nt
Filed under: Blattella germanica (German cockroach)
Lineage: Eukaryota; Metazoa; Arthropoda; Insecta; Blattodea; Blattellidae
Description: Bge-Novel-21_5p* (star (passenger))
Source: RNAcentral
UGGUAGUGACUUCCCAAGUGAUG